UACGGAGGGUGCAAGCGUUAAUCGGAAUUACUGGGCGUAAAGCGCACGCAGGCGGUUUGUUAAGUCAGAUGUGAAAUUCCCGAGCUUAACUUGGGAACUGCAUUUGAAACUGGCAAGCUAGAGUCUUGUAGAGGGGGGUAGAAUUCCAGGUGUAGCGGUGAAAUGCGUAGAGAUCUGGAGGAAUACCGGUGGCGAAGGCGGCCCCCUGGACAAAGACUGACGCUCAGGUGCGAAAGCGUGGGGAGCAAACAGG
RNAcentral lists this ribosomal RNA (253 nucleotides) under uncultured bacterium. RNAcentral describes it as "partial 16S ribosomal RNA". It matches the Rfam family "Bacterial small subunit ribosomal RNA", at positions 524 to 776 of the family's 1533-position model. The record is from RNAcentral.